UUUUUCAGGGUAUUCUUUUUUAUAGAACUGGACAGGUCAUUUAUUCGUUCCCCUUGUUUUUUGAAGUGUCCUGCAGGAUGCUGUGUCCUGCAAUCCUGUGUGCUGUGCUACAGACGCGUGUGGAGGUCAACCCAAAAUGGGCACAGUCUCACCACAGAAGAGUGAAAGAGGAUCCUGGCAGGGAGACGGUAGUGUCCUGCAGAAUGGUGAUGGGCCAAUCUUACAAGAGACCACAGAAAACUGAUAUAGUGAACUAUAGAAACAACAGUGCCUGCUGCAGUAUAACGAGGACACCCUGAGCAGAGAGCUCCAAUAGACCCAGGUCCAGUGUCUUGGCAGGGUGAAAUGGCACUGAUAUGGUGUCCUGCAGGAUGUUGUGUCCUGCAAUCCUGUGUGCUGUGCUACAGACGCGUGUGGAGGUCAACCCAAAAUGGGCACAGUCUCACCACAGAAGAGUGAAAGAGGCUCCCAGAAGUGAGACUGAGUGCCUGUUGCAGUAUGACGAGGACGCAGUGACCAGAGACCUUCAGUAGACCCUGCUGGCAUGAUUGGUGGCUGAAGAACAUGAAAUCAACAGCAAUGUUUAUAAUGUUGUACAUACCUGUAUAGUCUGUAUUAAAAGGCAGUACCUGUAGUAUUUUUCCUCUUACUUUCAUAUUUACCACAUAUUUACUAUGAAUUGACAACUUCUACUAAAAUCCAUUUUUGUAUGUGCCCUGACUAAAACUAUCCUUAAACCUAACCUGUCAGAGAUGUAACAACAACCUGCUCUUAGCAAUGUGGCAGCAGUCUACUUGGAUGCAGCGGGGAACAUAGAACCCUUUUUUGAAAAAGCAUUGUAUGUUUCUGAGUUUUAUGAAUUGUGCCCUUCCCAAACAUCAUGCAUAGGCUAAGCGUAUCUAUGACACGCUGAUUUGAACUCACUAUCGCGUGUGUCCAAUACGCAUUUUUAAGUUAAGUCGUGCUCCACAACGCCCUGUGACAGGUUAGGUUUAGGGAUGGUUUUG
This is a long non-coding RNA of Engraulis encrasicolus (European anchovy), 1007 nucleotides long. RefSeq lists it as uncharacterized. The record is from RefSeq and is a predicted model, not a curated record. The transcript has 5 exons. Lineage: Eukaryota; Metazoa; Chordata; Actinopteri; Clupeiformes; Engraulidae.